ACCGCGGUUAUACAAAUAAUACAAGUAAAAUUUAUUAGUAAUAGUUAAUUUGUUUUAAUAAAAUUUAAUUUAAAUUUUUUAAGUGAAAUUUUAAAUUUAAUUAAUUUUAUACUUAUUUUAAAUGAAGCUAGAAAUUUUUAAUUAUAAACUAGGAUUAGAUACCCUAUUAUUUAAAGAGUAAUUGUUAAUACUUGAGUAGUAAUAGUUAUGAUCUUCAAACUUAAAGAAUUUGGCGGUGUUUUAGUCUAUUUAGAGGAAUCUGUUCUGUAAUCGAUAAUCCACGUUGGACCUUACUAAAAUUUGUAUUUAAUUUGUAUAUCGCCGUUAUCAGAAUAUCUUAAAAGAGAAAUAAUUUUCUUAAUUUAUAAAUAUAAUUGAUGUCAGGUCAAGGUGCAGUUUAUGUUUUAGUAGAAAUGGAUUACAAUAAAUUUAUUUAUACAGUAAAUUAUUUGAAAUAAUAAUUUUAAGGUGGAUUUAAAAGUAAAAUAAUAGAUAUUAUUUAUUUGAUUAUAGCUCUAAAACAUGCACAC
This 530-nucleotide ribosomal RNA is filed under the name Simulium trangense. RNAcentral describes it as "partial 12S ribosomal RNA". Lineage: Eukaryota; Metazoa; Arthropoda; Insecta; Diptera; Simuliidae. The record is from RNAcentral.